GCACACAAAGCUGAUGUCCCUUUCUUGAAUACCCCAAUUGAACACUAGCAUGCUAUGGCAACCAUCUUUGGGACAACCGCGGCUUCGGGGAUGAAUGCUAGGUCUGGGAAUGAUCUGCACUCUAUUGAUGUGGAAGAUGAGGAGAAUAGUGAGGUGAACACAUCACCAAAUGUUGCUGAAUCCUCUCACCCCAAAGGACCACCAAAAAAGAAGGCCAAGGUAGUGAAAGUUCUUGAAGAUCCACUAGUUACCACUCUCAAUUAUGUGUUCAAACUUGUGGUUGAUGCUCUUAUCAAGUCUGAGGAUGAUGAUGAUAUACCCGCUGAACUUUGGGAUGAGGUCUGCAAGUUGGGAGAAUUUGAUGAAGAGCACCUAGCCCACUACUAUGCUCAUCUUGUUGACAAUCCGAAGAUCGCAAAAGCCUUCAUGACACUUUCCCAAACCAACAAAUCUGUUUGGGUGAGUAGGUACGUGAAGAACUUCUAA
Molecule: ribosomal RNA, 486 nt
Filed under: Triticum aestivum (bread wheat)
Lineage: Eukaryota; Viridiplantae; Streptophyta; Magnoliopsida; Poales; Poaceae
Description: partial small subunit ribosomal RNA
Source: RNAcentral